GAAAUAUUGAAAUAUUAAAAUUUCUAAUUUUAUUUGAAGUUAUUUAAACUUAUAUUUCU
RNAcentral lists this transfer RNA (59 nucleotides) under Anastatus shichengensis. Its description in RNAcentral is "tRNA-Ser". Lineage: Eukaryota; Metazoa; Arthropoda; Insecta; Hymenoptera; Eupelmidae. The record is from RNAcentral.